Molecule: ribosomal RNA, 813 nt
Filed under: uncultured Enterobacteriaceae bacterium
Lineage: Bacteria; Pseudomonadati; Pseudomonadota; Gammaproteobacteria; Enterobacterales; Enterobacteriaceae
Description: SSU rRNA
Rfam family: Bacterial small subunit ribosomal RNA
Source: RNAcentral
UCGAACGGUAACAGGAAGAAGCUUGCUUCUUUGCUGACGAGUGGCGGACGGGUGAGUAAUGUCUGGGAAACUGCCUGAUGGAGGGGGAUAACUACUGGAAACGGUAGCUAAUACCGCAUAACGUCGCAAGACCAAAGAGGGGGACCUUCGGGCCUCUUGCCAUCGGAUGUGCCCAGAUGGGAUUAGCUAGUAGGUGGGGUAACGGCUCACCUAGGCGACGAUCCCUAGCUGGUCUGAGAGGAUGACCAGCCACACUGGAACUGAGACACGGUCCAGACUCCUACGGGAGGCAGCAGUGGGGAAUAUUGCACAAUGGGCGCAAGCCUGAUGCAGCCAUGCCGCGUGUAUGAAGAAGGCCUUCGGGUUGUAAAGUACUUUCAGCGGGGAGGAAGGGAGUAAAGUUAAUACCUUUGCUCAUUGACGUUACCCGCAGAAGAAGCACCGGCUAACUCCGUGCCAGCAGCCGCGGUAAUACGGAGGGUGCAAGCGCUAAUCGGAAUUACUGGGCGUAAAGCGCACGCAGGCGGUUUGUUAAGUCAGAUGUGAAAUCCCCGGGCUCAACCUGGGAACUGCAUCUGAUACUGGCAAGCUUGAGUCUCGUAAAGGGGGGUAGAAUUCCAGGUGUAGCGGUGAAAUGCGUAGAGAUCUGGAGGAAUACCGGUGGCGAAGGCGGCCCCCUGGACGAAGACUGACGCUCAGGUGCGAAAGCGUGGGGAGCAAACAGGAUUAGAUACCCUGGUAGUCCACGCCGUAAACGAUGUCGACUUGGAGGUUGUGCCCUUGAGGCGUGGCUUCCGGAGCUAACGCGUUAAG